UUUAUCUUUCCCCCAAAUCAGAAGCACAACACAUCCUAGAAUUACAAAAACAGUAUACAUAAGUCAGUUUCUCUACAAAUAUAAACAUCAUUUCCCUGAAUUCCAAUUCCUAGAUCUAAUUAGAAUCUUUAAACAAGAUGAAGUACUACUGGUUCUUAGUAUCUUUCAUGUAUUUCAACAAGAUUAACCCUGGAUCACUAUUCUAUCAACUCCUUUUUCCUUGAGACAAAUCUCACAAACUCGUCCUAAGCCAAUUGUCCAUCAUGCAAAUCACCAAUGGGAUGAACAAAUUGGAUGAUGCGACGAUGCAGUUGGAGCUUGUGACAAAUUGCAUACCAAUGAGGAUAUCUAUCUACAUUAAGAAAGAAUGACUGGUUAGAGAGCAACUGUACUGUACAAAAAUUUGUAAAGGUUAAAAGGCUCUAACAUGCUCUAGUUCUAGUAACUCUACUAGAAUAACAGAGUUCAAGCAAGAUUGGGUUGAUUCGUAGAUGUAGAUCUGCAAAAUGCCAAGAGAUAGACAAUCUAAAGAACCAAAUAAAGACAAAGAUAGGAAAUACAUGGAGUUUGAGAAGCUAAUGAUGAAGCAAGUAUACUCGAUGAUGUGAAAUAAGAGCAACUUUUCGGACCUCCAAAGCAACUGCACAAACUUUAAGAGCAUCCACGCAGACAGUGAGAGCUUCUGUACAGAUCUCCUGAUGGAGAUCGUCUCUGAAUGGAGAAGUACGAAGAUUUAAGGCUCACUGAAAAAGGGGAAUGCCAUAUACUACAAAGCUUACCCAACUACAGAGCCUGACACUGAUUGAGGAAAACAUUCAGAGACUAACUCUGGUAGCAAAAGAUGGAGCUUAUAUUUGGAAGAAAGAGUAGUUUGAGUAGUUACUCAAUCGAAGUUUCAACUGCAAUCAGUCCAAAAGCAACUCCAAUCAACAUUGAAGAAGAAAAGGCUGCUUGGAGUCCGGGAACACCAGAUCAAGAUACCUCUUGCAAUGUCAUUGUUGAACCUUCAUAAUACAAAAAGUUGGCUAUAAUUGAAUUAAACUGAAAGGUCCAUGAGCUGCAAGCGGAGAAGAGCUUAGAAAACCCCAAACAACCAGUGUUUAAAGAAAUUUAACAAGUUGCAGCUACAACACUGAUUAAUGCAAUAGACGUGCAAUUGGUUCUCUUCAAGACAACGAGGAUUCUGCACUUGGAAAAGUGGUGACCAGAAUGGAGUUUGUUUCUUUCUGUUGGAAGAAACCUGAUUCUUUAUAUGAGACAAUAGCCCGAUAUUUUUCCCAAUUAUUUGAUUGACGAAUUGAGUUUGAACUGUCAGCGUGUAGAAUAUGUCAAGAUUAUUCUGUACCAACUGGUUUCGUAUGUGAUUGUAAAGACAUGUUAAGCAUGUGUUCGAACUAUCAGAAUUAAGGUGCAUGAAGGAGCAGUCCCGUUCUGGCUGCAUCUCAACCUAUUAAAAUGCUAGUCAGGACUAUACUGUGCAUCAGUAAAGCUUUAUGCAGUCCUCCGUUUAAUAUCAAGCUUAUAUGAACAUAUGUAAUUGGUGUGCAUGAUUUCAGAAGAAAACCAGCAAGGCCAAUGGCCAGAUUUCAGAAGGUUACAUAGCACAAUUGAGGGAACAAGCUGGGUUAGAUGAGAAUUAUGAUGCGUUGAUGAUCUUGAUGCAAUCCCAGCUCAUUAGGAGACCUUACUUUGUAGAAGGUCAGGUACUAGAAACUCCAGUGUAUAUGGUGGUGUUCAAACGCCGGAUGCAGUCGACAAUGUCAGUGGAGAAGGGGAAGUUCUCUUGCACAUACAGUCGAAGCACCAGACUGACUAGCAGUUUUUGUAUGCAAAUCACUGCACCUUUUUGGACCAAACUACAUCAAUAAGGAUACAGUAAAGUAUUAAUGUGUUCGAGACGGAGUUGGAUUGUGAUCUGGCUGAGGAGGACCUUCUUUCACUCAUACAGUGGAAGAACACAAAAAGACGACAUAUUGAUAUUUCCUCUCAAAAGUACUAGAAACACCAGUACAUAGUGGUAUGCCGACGCCCAUACCCGAUCGAGCUUGGAAUCCUUAUGCACUGCUCCAGCAAGGGAAACCAGCCCACAAUGUUAGUGGGGAAGGGGCAGUCCUCUUGCAUGUACAAUUGAAGCAGCAGCACCGACUGCAGGUUUAUGUUGAGAGUAGGGGUAAAUGGGUAAUCAGAAUGAAGUUGGUACCAGUGGGAAAAGAAUAAGAAGCAGGGAUAGCAUCUGGUAGUAUAGUACACAGGCUAAGUCAAUUUUGUAUAUGGUCACUGCAUUCUUUUUGGACUAAAGACAUUAUCAAAGAUUCAUCAAUCUUAUUCUUCUUUUUCAAUUUCUUGUAUUCUUUUGACUGUUGCAAACAUCUUUACUUCCCAGCUUUUUUAUCUCGUCAAAAUUUGAUGUAAUCAAUUUUAUUGUUUUAAUACAGUUUUUCUUGGUUA
Molecule: long non-coding RNA, 2448 nt
Organism: Papaver somniferum (opium poppy)
Lineage: Eukaryota; Viridiplantae; Streptophyta; Magnoliopsida; Ranunculales; Papaveraceae
Exons: 11
Source: RefSeq, a predicted model, not a curated record